This 468-nucleotide ribosomal RNA is filed under the name uncultured bacterium. Its description in RNAcentral is "partial 16S ribosomal RNA". It matches the Rfam family "Bacterial small subunit ribosomal RNA", at positions 28 to 507 of the family's 1533-position model. The record is from RNAcentral.
GACGAACGCUGGCGGCGUGCUUAACACAUGCCAGUCGAACGGAAAGGCCCUGCUUUUGUGGGGUGCUCGAGUGGCGAACGGGUGAGUAACACGUGAGUAACCUGCCCUUGACUUUGGGAUAACUUCAGGAAACUGGGGCUAAUACCGGAUAGGAGCUCCUGCUGCAUGGUGGGGGUUGGAAAGUUUCGGCGGUUGGGGGUGGACUCGCGGCUUAUCAGCUUGUUGGUGGGGUAGUGGCUUACCAAGGCUUUGACGGGUAGCCGGCCUGAGAGGGUGACCGGCCACGUUGGGACUGAGAUACGGCCCAGACUCCUACGGGAGGCAGCAGUGGGGAAUAUUGCACAAUGGGCGGAAGCCUGAUGCAGCAACGCCGCGUGCGGGAUGACGGCCUUCGGGUUGUAAACCGCUUUCGCCUGUGACGAAGCGUGAGUGACGGUAAUGGGUAAAGAAGCACCGGCUAACUACGUG